GACGAACGCUGGCGGCGUGCCUAAUACAUGCAAGUCGAGCAGAGAUCUAAAAGCUUGCUUUUAAAUCUUAGCGGCGGACGGGUGAGUAACACGUGGGCAACCUGCCCUGUAGACUGGGAUAACUUCGGGAAACCGAAGCUAAUACCGGAUAAUCUUUUUGGCCUCAUGGCUAGAAAGUAAAAGUUGGGUUUACCUAACACUACAGGAUGGGCCCGCGUCGCAUUAGCUAGUUGGUAAGGUAACGGCUUACCAAGGCGACGAUGCGUAGCCGACCUGAGAGGGUGAUCGGCCACACUGGGACUGAGACACGGCCCAGACUCCUACGGGAGGCAGCAGUAGGGAAUCUUCCGCAAUGGACGAAAGUCUGACGGAGCAACGCCGCGUGAACGAUGAAGGCCUUCGGGUCGUAAAGUUCUGUUGUUAGGGAAGAACAAGUACCGUUCAAAUAGGGCGGUACCUUGACGGUACCUAACGAGAAAGCCACGGCUAACUACGUG
This 497-nucleotide ribosomal RNA is filed under the name uncultured bacterium. RNAcentral describes it as "bacterial SSU rRNA". It matches the Rfam family "Bacterial small subunit ribosomal RNA", at positions 28 to 507 of the family's 1533-position model. The record is from RNAcentral.